AGAGUUGAUCAUGGCUCAGGAUGAACGCUAGCGACAGGCUAACACAUGCAAGUCGAGGGGCAGCACGGGGGUAGCAAUACAACUGGUGGCGACCGGCGCACGGGUGAGUAACGCGUAUGCAACCUACCUAUCAGAGGGGAAUAACCCGGCGAAAGUCGGACUAAUACCGCAUAAAACAGGGGCACCGCAUGGUGAUAUUUGUUAAAGAAAUUCGCUGAUAGAUGGGCAUGCGUUCCAUUAGGUAGUUGGUGAGGUAACGGCUCACCAAGCCGACGAUGGAUAGGGGAACUGAGAGGUUGGUCCCCCACACUGGUACUGAGACACGGACCAGACUCCUACGGGAGGCAGCAGUGAGGAAUAUUGGUCAAUGGGCGAGAGCCUGAACCAGCCAAGUCGCGUGAAGGAAGAAGGAUCUAUGGUUCGUAAACUUCUUUUGCAGGGGAAUAAAGUGCAGGACGUGUCCUGUUUUGUAUGUACCCUGAGAAUAAGGAUCGGCUAACUCCGUGCCAGCAGCCGC
Molecule: ribosomal RNA, 517 nt
Filed under: uncultured bacterium
Lineage: Bacteria
Description: bacterial SSU rRNA
Rfam family: Bacterial small subunit ribosomal RNA
Source: RNAcentral